CCUACGGGUGGCAGCAGUGGGGAAUAUUGGUCAAUGGGGGAAACCCUGAACCAGCGACGCCGCGUGAGGGAUGAAGGUUUUCGGAAUGUAAACCUCUUUUUUUAGGGAAGAAAAUGACGGUACCUGACGAAUAAGCUCCGGCUAACUUCGUUCCAGCAGCCGCGGUAAUACGGAGGGGGCAAGCGUUAUCCGGAAUUACUGGGCGUAAAGCGAGCGUAGGCGGGAUAGGAAGUCAGUUGUGAAAGUCUGUGGCUUAACCCUAGAACUGCAUUUGAAACUGUGAGUCUAGAGUUCGGGAGAGGUAGGCGGAAUUCGUGGUGUAGGGGGAAAAUGCGUAGAGAUCAAGAGGAACAC
This 354-nucleotide ribosomal RNA is filed under the name uncultured bacterium. Its description in RNAcentral is "partial 16S ribosomal RNA". It matches the Rfam family "Bacterial small subunit ribosomal RNA", at positions 338 to 709 of the family's 1533-position model. The record is from RNAcentral.